ACUGUGUAUAAGGUUGGGGAAACAUGCAGCGAGCUGAGACUGAAGAAGUCACUUGGAUGAGUAAUGAAACCCUUCUCUCACUAAAAAAGCUACGUCCAAAUGAACAGAAACAACCUUUUGGUGGCAAAAGCUCUAGUGUGGUCGCAAAACAAAAACCUAGAAACUUGGCUUGAUACAAAGUACACUACAAGGCUGAGAAUCCUGCGUGGCAGCCUGAAGAACAUUACAGAACAUUUCAUAAGCAGUGACUGGUUGUGUGGUGCUUGCGGAGUGCACUAGAGUGAGAGAGAGAGAAAAGGUGUUGGUGGGUGCAUAGUUUGGGCCAGAGGUUACACUGACUACUGAAAUGGAGUGGCGGAGUGGCUUACUUGGGCAGAAAGAGGCUGAGGCUCAGAGGGGGAGGCAGAGGUCCAAGUGGGUGGCAGAGGAGUGACCUGAGUUUUCUAGGCCCCUGUGUGGGAUGGUGAUGGCAGGAGGGCAGGCAGGUAGUGCGGUUUGUGGUACUCCCUGGAUUGUGGCUGAGAAUCCUGAGAGGUUUUGUGUCCAGAAUCCAAAAAGGUGAACCUUAAUGGUGGUGUCAUGGUGUAGCGGGCUGGCAGAGCUAGGAGAGAAGAUGACAAGAUUUCAUCUUACAAGCUGAUGAGGUAGGCCCUCGUUGAUGCAAGUUCCCAGCAGAAACAUGCUUACUGUAUGAUUCAGGGGGAAAGGUCUUGUACCUGGUGAGCAGCUGUGGGCCUUCAACCCGGAGAGAAAGAUAAGCCAUUCUCUUAAACUGAUGAGCCAGGCCCCAGCACCAACCCUAGACUCUCAACCCAACUUGAGAGACCACUGAGGAAUCGUCUAAUCUGACUCAAUGACAGUGUCACCUCCCCCAACAUGUCAAAGAUUUUGACAC
Molecule: long non-coding RNA, 895 nt
Organism: Oreochromis aureus
Lineage: Eukaryota; Metazoa; Chordata; Actinopteri; Cichliformes; Cichlidae
Exons: 3
Source: RefSeq, a predicted model, not a curated record